RNAcentral lists this ribosomal RNA (253 nucleotides) under uncultured bacterium. RNAcentral describes it as "partial 16S ribosomal RNA". It matches the Rfam family "Bacterial small subunit ribosomal RNA", at positions 524 to 776 of the family's 1533-position model. The record is from RNAcentral.
UACAGAGGGGGCAAGCGUUGUUCGGAAUUACUGGGCGUAAAGGGCGCGUAGGCGGCCUCUUAAGUCGAACGUGAAAUCCCCGGGCUCAACCCGGGAACUGCGUCCGAUACUGGGAGGCUUGAAUCCGGGAGAGGGAUGUGGAAUUCCAGGUGUAGCGGUGAAAUGCGUAGAUAUCUGGAGGAAUACCGGUGGCGAAGGCGGCAUCCUGGACCGGCAUUGACGCUGAGGAGCGAAAGCCAGGGGAGCAAACGGG